Molecule: ribosomal RNA, 363 nt
Filed under: uncultured Glomus
Lineage: Eukaryota; Fungi; Glomeromycota; Glomeromycetes; Glomerales; Glomeraceae
Description: SSU rRNA
Rfam family: Eukaryotic small subunit ribosomal RNA
Source: RNAcentral
AGCAGCCGCGGUAAUUCCAGCUCCAAUAGCGUAUAUUAAAGUUGUUGCAGUUAAAAAGCUCGUAGUUGAAUUUCGGGAUCAUCAGGUUGGUCGUGCCUCUGGUAUGUACUGAUUUCGAUGGUUCCUCCUUCUUGAAGAGCCGUAAUGUCAUUAAUUUGGUGUUGCGGGGAAUCAGGACUGUUACUUUAGAAAAAUUAGAGUGUUUAAAGCAGGCAAUCGCUUGAAUACAUUAGCAUGGAAUAAUGAAAUAGGACGUUCGAUCCUAUUUUGUUGGUUUCUAGGAUUGACGUAAUGAUUAAUAGGGAUAGGUUGGGGGCAUUAGUAUUCAAUUGUCAGAGGUGAAAUUCUUGGAUUUAUGAAGAC